UUACUUUGAAACGAUUUUGGUUCCCAAACUAACUCUUGAUUUUGGGUUGGAGCUUGGGAUUAAAAGGGAAUCCGGUGCGAAACCGGAGCUGUCCCCGCAACUGUAAGUCUGCCCCAUCGCAACAUGGGGAAGUACUUUUACACCACUAAGCCAUUGAGCCGAUCCUGAUAGCUAUCGGGACGACUUGAGAAGGCCGGUAAAAGUCAGACGAGCCAGGAGACCUGCCUAGAUCAGCUGAUUCUG
RNAcentral lists this non-coding RNA (243 nucleotides) under Algoriphagus sanaruensis. RNAcentral also lists the same sequence under 1 other name. The record is from RNAcentral. Lineage: Bacteria; Pseudomonadati; Bacteroidota; Cytophagia; Cytophagales; Cyclobacteriaceae.